Ananas comosus (pineapple) is the source of this 1559-nucleotide RNA transcript. It is a transcript of the gene named protein YeeZ, with no coding region annotated. The record is from RefSeq and is a predicted model, not a curated record. Lineage: Eukaryota; Viridiplantae; Streptophyta; Magnoliopsida; Poales; Bromeliaceae. The transcript is spliced from 11 exons.
CACCCGAGUCUCAACCCCCCAUUUCUCUCUCCUCUCAAUAUGGCGGCGAUUCGCGGCGGGGAUGUCGGGGUCGGGGGCGAAUCAUCGCAUGUUGGUGCUGGGGACGGGAUUCGUGGGGCGCUACGCGUCGGAGCGCUUGAUCGAACACGACGACGAAGAAGACGAAGUAGGGUGGCAAGUCUCCGGGACCUGCACUAGCGCUGCAAAGAAAAGAGAACUUGAGAAGAUUGGAAUUGAUGCUUUCAUCUUUGAUGCAACUAAAAGCAAGAUGACAGAUCUUCACACUUUGAAACAUGCAACUCAUCUGCUCAUCUCCAUUCCAACUAUUGCAGGCAUUGGCGAUCCUUUACUCUUUUCAUAUGAAGACUUACGAAAUACAUUGAGCCAUGGAAACCUUCGGUGGCUAUGUUACUUAUCAUCAACAAGUGUUUAUGGAGAUUGUGGAGGCGCCUUGGUUGACGAGGACUAUCCUGCGAACCCGAAAAGUGAGUCUGCUAAACUAAGAUUAGCAGCAGAGAAAGGGUGGUCGCAACUAGGGAGUGAACUAGGUCUAUCAGUUUACAUAUUUCGACUUGGAGGAAUAUAUGGCCCUGGAAGAAGUGCUCUGGACACCAUGGUUAAAAGGAAAUCCUUGUCAAAAGGACAAAAGCUGAGGGAGUCGAGGCAAUACACUGCGCGAGUUCAUGUUGCUGAUAUUUAUCAGGCGAUUAAAGCAAGCUUCAAAGUACCAUCUUCAGGGAGGAUAUACAACGUCGUCGAUGAUGACCCCGCUUCUCGAGCUGAAGUGUUUGCUUUCGCUCGGAACUUGUUAGAGCACAGGUUUCCUGAUAUGGCGAAAGAGUUUGGUGAUGUUAGUUUACCAGAUUUAGCAUCAACUGAGAAGAAAAUGCAUGGUGAAAAGCGUGUAUCGAAUGCUCGUUUGAAGAACGAGCUCGGCGUCAGGCUGUUGUACCCGACGUAUCGAUCCGGGCUGCAGAGUAUUUUUGACUCAUGGUCAGUUGAUAAUUACUAGCCAUGAGAGUUGAAGAACAAAAUGUUGUGGAGAUAUCUUAGGAGAAAAGUAAAGAAUCUGAAGUUGAAUAAAAUAGCAAAAUGAGAAUCAUCUCAACUACAUUGCCAUGGUUAGUGUGGAACAAACAGCUUCCCACCACACAAAAAGCAAAGGACUCUUCAUCUGGCAAAACACUAGUAACCAUAACUGGCGCUAAAAGCAGAAGCAGUAUCAGUGCCAUACAGCUACUGCAGCAACAGAUCAGGAAAGGGUAACUGCUUAGAGUAAACUACUACUUUUAUUGACUAAAAAACCGUAGUACAUCAUGUGGGCUAUUACAGAUACAAUAGAUACAAGAGGUUAGUUCAACACUUAUGGCUUAUUACGUCUACCUUCAACUCGGAAAUUUAUUAGAUAAUUAAUGGUGUUACAAUUAUUAGGGCCACUGAAGUGCAUCCAAAGCCUGUUUAUGGACCAGGGCAUCUCCCGCCGCCACCACAUUAAAACCUAAAAUAGAUUCAAGAAACAAGGUGUAAGUAAAAAAUUCUCAACCCCACAAGAAAGAAAA